GGCCGCGCCGCAGAAGGUGAAGGAACAGCGCGAGGCACGCAGCCGCCGCACCGUGGCGCGCACGAGCUCAGCCGGCCGGCGACCCCAGCGCGCCCACAGGACAGUGGCAGCCGGAAAGUGGGUUCCUGCAUGGUAACAAGACCUUAAAAUUGUGUCACUGGAGAAGGACGUGCAGUUCCCGCUGAGGAGAGACUUGGCCACUCCAGGACAACACAGGACUACAAGUCAGGAAUUUGAAGAUGAAAAGUGCUCAACAGUGAUAAAUCCUAAAUGUUUCACUGAACAACCUUUCAGAUAGCCUUCUUGAAGUUUGCUGAAUUAUGGCUAUAAGGACCACUCCCCACCCCUGCUAGGUGAAGUCUCACUUGCCCAGGUUGCAGUGAGCCGAGAUUGCACCACUGCACUCAAGCCUGGGUGACAGAAAAAGACUCCAUCUCAUAUUCGAAAAGAAUGUAGGAUAAAAUGUGUUACUGCUGAGUCUCGUUAUUUGGUUAUGUUUGUAUUGAUUCAUUUGUUGUAUUGAUAAAGAUUAGUAGGUGGCAAAUUCUUCCUUUAGAAGGUUGUUUGUGACCCAAGAGGGCAUCAAUACAAAGACCCUAAAGCUGGGAUUCCGAAGCACAGAGUCGCGGGAGAGAACCAAAGCUCAUCGCAUCUGGUUUAAGACUCCUUCAGAGUUGGAUCAGCCUAAAAACAGGACAUGGUACAAGAUUUUAUUCAUUCCAAAGAUUGUAAAAAUUAAAUUCAUCCUGAGAAUUUAUCAGUCUAUGUGGGAGCUACAGACUUCUAUGAGCAAGCAGAGGACCUGGCAUUCCUGACCAUGCUAUUUCUACCAAUCAACAAAAACUACUAGAUACUCAGAGGGGAUUUAAUACAGAGAGCUGGCUACAACAUGACAAAACACCAGACAAGGGAGGGCACUGUG
This 922-nucleotide long non-coding RNA is filed under the name Homo sapiens (human). RNAcentral describes it as "HSALNT0273343". Lineage: Eukaryota; Metazoa; Chordata; Mammalia; Primates; Hominidae. The record is from RNAcentral.